UCAUUUCUACAAGGAUCUCACUAUACUAGACACAUCCAAAGUUAGUUCGAAUUUGAUUCCUAUUUCAUAUCACACAGAGAAACCACUGUCACUAUUGUACUACACAGUUGUUGAAUUUUCUCACCAGAAACUUUUGGCUCCUCCUCACCUACCUUGUUUUCACACAAUUAAUACCCCCACUUAGACCUUAACAAUCCAACACACACAGAGAGAGACCUAUUAUAAGUAUCACUCUCAUUCUUAAACUCACCUCCAAAAUACUUGCAUUCAACUCACUAGAGUUUAAAGACUUCAAAAUCAUGAAGAAAUUCUUCUUUCCAGCUCUUCUUCUUGUAGCUCUUGUAGCGCAACUU
Molecule: long non-coding RNA, 353 nt
Filed under: Olea europaea (common olive)
Lineage: Eukaryota; Viridiplantae; Streptophyta; Magnoliopsida; Lamiales; Oleaceae
Description: long non-coding RNA (OEUR_LNC002286)
Source: RNAcentral